Molecule: ribosomal RNA, 362 nt
Filed under: Prochlorococcus marinus XMU1424
Lineage: Bacteria; Bacillati; Cyanobacteriota; Cyanophyceae; Synechococcales; Prochlorococcaceae
Description: bacterial SSU rRNA
Rfam family: Bacterial small subunit ribosomal RNA
Source: RNAcentral
ACAACGGAGAGUUUGAUCCUGGCUCAGGAUGAACGCUGGCGGCGUGCUUAACACAUGCAAGUCGAACGAACCUUCGGGUUAGUGGCGGACGGGUGAGUAACGCGUGAGAAUCUGCCCUCAGGAGGGGGAUAACGGUUGGAAACGACCGCUAAUACCCCAUAUGCCUACUGGUGAAACGAAUUUCGCCUGAGGAUGAGCUCGCGUCUGAUUAGCUAGUUGGUGAGGUAAUGGCUCACCAAGGCUUCGAUCAGUAGCUGGUCUGAGAGGAUGAUCAGCCACACUGGGACUGAGACACGGCCCAGACUCCUACGGGAGGCAGCAGUGGGGAAUUUUCCGCAAUGGGCGAAAGCCUGACGGAGCAA